RNAcentral lists this ribosomal RNA (606 nucleotides) under uncultured fungus. RNAcentral describes it as "eukaryotic LSU rRNA". The stretch from base 234 to 387 matches the Rfam family "5.8S ribosomal RNA". The record is from RNAcentral. Lineage: Eukaryota; Fungi.
CUUGGUCAUUUAGAGGAAGUAAAAGUCGUAACAAGGUCUCCGUAGGUGAACCUGCGGAGGGAUCAUUACACAAAUAUGAAGGCGGGCUGGAACCUCUCGGGGUUACAGCCUUGCUGAAUUAUUCACCCUUGUCUUUUGCGUACUUCUUGUUUCCUUGGUGGGUUCGCCCACCACUAGGACAAACAUAAACCUUUUGUAAUUGCAAUCAGCGUCAGUAACAAAUUAAUAAUUACAGCUUUCAACAACGGAUCUCUUGGUUCUGGCAUCGAUGAAGAACGCAGCGAAAUGCGAUACGUAGUGUGAAUUGCAGAAUUCAGUGAAUCAUCGAAUCUUUGAACGCACAUUGCGCCCCUCGGUAUUCCGUGGGGCAUGCCUGUUCGAGCGUCAUCUACACCCUCAAGCUCUGCUUGGUGUUGGGCGUCUGUCCCGCCUCGGCGCGCGGACUCGCCCCAAAUGCAUUGGCAGCGGUCUUUGCCUUCUCUCGUGCAGCACAUUGCGCUUCUCGAGGUGUCGCGGACACGCGUCCAGUAAGCAACAUUUUACCGUCUUUGACCUCGGAUCAGGUAGGGAUACCCGCUGAACUUAAGCAUAUCAAUAAGCGGAGGA